RNAcentral lists this ribosomal RNA (420 nucleotides) under uncultured bacterium. RNAcentral's name for it is "bacterial SSU rRNA". It matches the Rfam family "Bacterial small subunit ribosomal RNA", at positions 354 to 787 of the family's 1533-position model. The record is from RNAcentral.
UGGGGGAAUAUUGGGGCAAUGGGGGAAACCCUGACCCAGCAACGCCGCGUGAGGGAAGAAGGCUUUCGAGUUGUAAACCUCUGUCCUAUGGGAAGAAGAAAGUGACUGUACCAUAGGAGGAAGCUCCGGCUAACUACGUGCCAGCAGCCGCGGUAAUACGUAGGGAGCAAGCGUUGUCCGGAAUUACUGGGCGUAAAGGGUGCGUAGGCGGCGCAGUUAGUCAGAAGUGAAAUAUCGGGGCUUAACUCCGGGACUGCUUCUGAUACUGCUGUGCUCGAGUGCAGGAGAGGUAAGUGGAAUUCCUAGUGUAGCGGUGAAAUGCGUAGAUAUUAGGAGGAACACCAGUGGCGAAGGCGACUUACUGGACUGUAACUGACGCUGAGGCACGAAAGCGUGGGUAGCAAACAGGAUUAGAUACCC